RNAcentral lists this ribosomal RNA (429 nucleotides) under Pseudomonadota bacterium. RNAcentral describes it as "Proteobacteria bacterium partial 16S ribosomal RNA". It matches the Rfam family "Bacterial small subunit ribosomal RNA", at positions 355 to 776 of the family's 1533-position model. The record is from RNAcentral. Lineage: Bacteria; Pseudomonadati; Pseudomonadota.
UGGGGAAUAUUGGACAAUGGGCGAAAGCCUGAUCCAGCCAUGCCGCGUGUGUGAAGAAGGUCUUCGGAUUGUAAAGCACUUUAAGUUGGGAGGAAGGGCAGUAAGCGAAUACCUUGCUGUUUUGACGUUACCGACAGAAUAAGCACCGGCUAACUCUGUGCCAGCAGCCGCUGUAAUACAGUGGGUGCGAGCGUUAAUCGGAUUUACUGGGCGUAAAGCGUGCGUAGGCGGCUGAUUGAGUCGGAUGUGAAAUCCCCGAGCUUAACUUGGGAAUUGCAUUCGAUACUGGUUAGCUAGAGUGUGGGGGAGGAUGGUAGAAUUCCAGGUGUAGCGGUGAAAUGCGUAGAGAUCUGGAGGAAUACCGAUGGCGAAGGCAGCCAUCUGGCCUAACACUGACGCUGAGGUACGAAAGCAUGGGGAGCAAACAGG